Molecule: ribosomal RNA, 433 nt
Filed under: uncultured bacterium
Lineage: Bacteria
Description: partial 16S ribosomal RNA
Rfam family: Bacterial small subunit ribosomal RNA
Source: RNAcentral
AACGAACGCUGGCGGCAUGCCUAACACAUGCAAGUCGAACGAGACCUUCGGGUCUAGUGGCGCACGGGUGCGUAACGCGUGGGAACCUGCCCUUAGGUUCGGAAUAACUCCCCGAAAGGGGUGCUAAUACCGGAUAAUGUCUUCGGACCAAAGAUUUAUCGCCUUUGGAUGGGCCCGCGUUGGAUUAGCUAGUUGGUAGGGUAAAAGCCUACCAAGGCGACGAUCCAUAGCUGGUCUGAGAGGAUGAUCAGCCACACUGGGACUGAGACACGGCCCAGACUCCUACGGGAGGCAGCAGUGGGGAAUAUUGGACAAUGGGCGAAGGGCUGAUCCAGCAAUGCCGCGUGAGUGAUGAAGGCCUUAGAGUUGUAAAGCUCUUUUACCCGGGAUGAUAAUGACAGUACCGGGAGAAUAAGCUCCGGCUAACUCCGUG